This 229-nucleotide ribosomal RNA is filed under the name uncultured bacterium. RNAcentral's name for it is "partial 16S ribosomal RNA". It matches the Rfam family "Bacterial small subunit ribosomal RNA", at positions 568 to 796 of the family's 1533-position model. The record is from RNAcentral.
CGCGCAGGCUGUCUGGUAAGUCAGAUGUGAAAGCCCGGGGCUUAACCCCGGAAGUGCAUUUGAAACUACCAGACUUGAGUAUGGGAGAGGGAAGUGGAAUUCCUGGUGUAGAGGUGAAAUUCGUAGAUAUCAGGAGGAACAUCGGUGGCGAAGGCGACUUCCUGGACCAAUACUGACGCUGAGGCGCGAAGGCGUGGGGAGCAAACAGGAUUAGAUACCCUGGUAGUCC